Molecule: ribosomal RNA, 249 nt
Filed under: uncultured bacterium
Lineage: Bacteria
Description: partial small subunit ribosomal RNA
Rfam family: Bacterial small subunit ribosomal RNA
Source: RNAcentral
AGGAUUAACGCUGGCGGCGUGCCUAACACAUGCAAGUCGAACGAGGUAGCAAUACCUAGUGGCGAACGGGUGAGUAACACGUGGGCAACCUACCCUCAGCUCUGGGAUAACCCCGGGAAACCGGAGCUAAUACCGGAUAUGACCAAGAACGACAUCGUUCUUGGUGGAAAGUUUUUCGGCUGAGGAUGGGCCCGCGGCCUAUCAGCUUGUUGGUGAGGUAACGGCCCACCAAGGCGACGACGGGUAGCC